GGUAGCUUCACAAACUAUAUGUAUUUCUUCUUGUCAUGGUUCUUUAACACUGUCUAACUAUUCUAUUCUAUGGGUUUACUUUACAUGGUCAAAGAAUUGAGAGGUUAUUUUUGAUCUUCCUAUAUAUUGCUAAUGUUCUAUGUUCUCUGCCAGUCAAUAAACUUCAGGGUAAAAGAGAGAGAGAAAAACCUUUUUUUUUUAAGCUAAAAUUGAUAAUUAAUGCAGAGGUUUAACUUUAUAUUAUUUUGAUCAAAUUUAAAGUUUUGGCUAAACUUGAAUAAUUCACUCCAAGCUUUGGAUAUUUGAUCUUUAGGCCUUGUAAAAUAAAUGAUUCAGGCAGCAAUUGUUUGGAUCAUUUGUUGGUGGCUACAUUCUAGAUUAUUGGUGCUUAAUUUAUAGGACAAACGGUGUAAAUGAUUUUAUUUUUAUUUUGAAUUCUACAAGAAAAGCCUUAAUUUGUAUCAUAAAUGGACUAUGUGCAUUUCUUUUUUUAUCUGAUUCCAUGCUUUGAAUCUUAUGGGAAUUUCUAUUGUAGAGCAUAAAGUAUUUCUUUUCAAUGCAUUCAUUCACAAUUGAGAAUGAGUUUGUUACCAUUGGAUUCAGUCACUUGUUGUCAAGGAUUAAAUUACAGCUGAUCCAGUGAUCCAUUUGCCCAUUAACACGUGAACAUGCAAG
This 675-nucleotide unclassified non-coding RNA is filed under the name Hevea brasiliensis (rubber tree). Lineage: Eukaryota; Viridiplantae; Streptophyta; Magnoliopsida; Malpighiales; Euphorbiaceae. The record is from RNAcentral.